GAGUGCGACCACCUGGGAGAGCAAUGAACUUUCAUGCAGCAGGCAAGGUUUGUUCUCUUGGGCAAGCUCCCCCUCGUAAACAACUGAAAGGAUGCAUCGCUGGAAACUCAACAAAUUUUGAUGAAGACACCUGGACUCCCUGCGGUACAUUCGCCGUGGAGGAAGAAAAAGAAAUGAGGGAGCGUGACGUCACCAGCCUUUGCAAGCCAACCCGUUAUGAAGCCAGAAGUGUCGGGUCGAAACGUGCUUUUUGCGUCAAGAUCACGCAAGCAACGAAUGUUUCCGAUAUACUUCAGAGUGUGGCGCCCGGUAACUUAUAUCCGAAGUGCGCUUGUUCGGCGCAGAGCAGCCUGCUCACGCAGUAUGUUACAGAACGCACAACCACCGAAAUUGUUAAAAACCACCCCACGCUCUGACGUUUGGGUCAUGUGUUGAGCUGACACGGUCGGCUUCACUUAUACUUAGCUUCACUCGUGUGACGUAAUUCUCCCUUCUUUUUUCCUCCCUGCAUGACAAUCUCGAACCCAGACAUUAUUUUGUUCUGAGCUGCCAAGUGCAUAUGUAUUUUCGUCCAAGUUAACAUGGCAAGUGGUAGGUCUGGGGCUUUAAAAUUCAAAAAAGCAGCUGUUCACGCCACUCCCGCUUACAAGGAGUCGUCUGGGCACGACUGUGACGUCUAACGAUGCGAAACCAAUCAGUUCAAGGGGAAGAUACUACUCAGCCCUGUCAACGAAUAUCACAAUUAGACGCGGAUAUUGUACC
Molecule: long non-coding RNA, 762 nt
Organism: Rhipicephalus microplus (southern cattle tick)
Lineage: Eukaryota; Metazoa; Arthropoda; Arachnida; Ixodida; Ixodidae
Source: RefSeq, a predicted model, not a curated record